This 274-nucleotide ribosomal RNA is filed under the name uncultured bacterium. RNAcentral's name for it is "partial 16S ribosomal RNA". It matches the Rfam family "Bacterial small subunit ribosomal RNA", at positions 523 to 796 of the family's 1533-position model. The record is from RNAcentral.
AUACGGAGGGUGCAAGCGUUAUCCGGAUUUACUGGGUUUAAAGGGUACGCAGGCGGUAAUUUAAGUCAGUGGUGAAAGCCUACAGCUCAACUGUAGAACUGCCAUUGAAACUGAAUUACUUGAGUAUGGUAGAGGUAGGCGGAAUACAACAUGUAGCGGUGAAAUGCAUAGAUAUGUUGUAGAACACCGAUUGCGAAGGCAGCUUACUAAACCAUUACUGACGCUCAUGUACGAAAGCGUGGGGAGCGAACAGGAUUAGAUACCCCAGUAGUCC